AGAGUUUGAUCAUGGCUCAGAUUGAACGCUGGCGGCAGGCCUAACACAUGCAAGUCGAACGGUAACAGGAAACAGCUUGCUGUUUCGCUGACGAGUGGCGGACGGGUGAGUAAUGUCUGGGAAACUGCCUGAUGGAGGGGGAUAACUACUGGAAACGGUAGCUAAUACCGCAUAACGUCGCAAGACCAAAGAGGGGGACCUUCGGGCCUCUUGCCAUCAGAUGUGCCCAGAUGGGAUUAGCUAGUAGGUGGGGUAACGGCUCACCUAGGCGACGAUCCCUAGCUGGUCUGAGAGGAUGACCAGCCACACUGGAACUGAGACACGGUCCAGACUCCUACGGGAGGCAGCAGUGGGGAAUAUUGCACAAUGGGCGCAAGCCUGAUGCAGCCAUGCCGCGUGUAUGAAGAAGGCCUUCGGGUUGUAAAGUACUUUCAGCGGGGAGGAAGGGAGUAAAGUUAAUACCUUUGCUCAUUGACGUUACCCGCAGAAGAAGCACCGGCUAACUCCGUGCCAGCAGCCGCGGUAAUACGGAGGGUGCAAGCGUUAAUCGGAAUUACUGGGCGUAAAGCGCACGCAGGCGGUUUGUUAAGUCAGAUGUGAAAUCCCCGGGCUCAACCUGGGAACUGCAUCUGAUACUGGCAAGCUUGAGUCUCGUAGAGGGGGGUGGAAUUCCAGGUGUAGCGGUGAAAUGCGUAGAGAUCUGGAGGAAUACCGGUGGCGAAGGCGGCCCCCUGGACGAAGACUGACGCUCAGGUGCGAAAGCGUGGGGAGCAAACAGGAUUAGAUACCCUGGUAGUCCACGCCGUAAACGAUGUCGACUUGGAGGUUGUGCCCUUGAGGCGUGGCUUCCGGAGCUAACGCGUUAAGUCGACCGCCUGGGGAGUACGGCCGCAAGGUUAAAACUCAAAUGAAUUGACGGGGGCCCGCACAAGCGGUGGAGCAUGUGGUUUAAUUCGAUGCAACGCGAAGAACCUUACCUGGUCUUGACAUCCACGGAAGUUUUCAGAGAUGAGAAUGUGCCUUCGGGAACCGUGAGACAGGUGCUGCAUGGCUGUCGUCAGCUCGUGUUGUGAAAUGUUGGGUUAAGUCCCGCAACGAGCGCAACCCUUAUCCUUUGUUGCCAGCGGUCCGGCCGGGAACUCAAAGGAGACUGCCAGUGAUAAACUGGAGGAAGGUGGGGAUGACGUCAAGUCAUCAUGGCCCUUACGACCAGGGCUACACACGUGCUACAAUGGCGCAUACAAAGAGAAGCGACCUCGCAAGAGCAAGCGGACCUCAUAAAGUGCGUCGUAGUCCGGAUUGGAGUCUGCAACUCGACUCCAUGAAGUCGGAAUCGCUAGUAAUCGUGGAUCAGAAUGCCACGGUGAAUACGUUCCCGGGCCUUGUACACACCGCCCGUCACACCAUGGGAGUGGGUUGCAAAAGAAGUAGGUAGCUUAACCUUCGGGAGGGCGCUUACCACUUUGUGAUUCAUGACUGGGGUGAAGUCGUAACAAGGUAACCGUAGGGGAACCUGCGGUUG
Molecule: ribosomal RNA, 1522 nt
Filed under: metagenome
Description: bacterial SSU rRNA
Rfam family: Bacterial small subunit ribosomal RNA
Source: RNAcentral